Molecule: ribosomal RNA, 37 nt
Filed under: Dumortiera hirsuta
Lineage: Eukaryota; Viridiplantae; Streptophyta; Marchantiopsida; Marchantiales; Dumortieraceae
Description: partial 26S ribosomal RNA
Source: RNAcentral
CCGACCUCAGAUCAGGCGAGACCACCCGCUGAGUUAA